GAUUCUAUUGUGUAGUGGUUAUCACAUCUGCUUUACAUGCAGAAGGUCCUGGGUUCAGUCCCCAGUAGAACCA
This is a non-coding RNA of Protopterus annectens (West African lungfish), 73 nucleotides long. The record is from the annotation of a RefSeq genome assembly. Lineage: Eukaryota; Metazoa; Chordata; Ceratodontiformes; Protopteridae.